GGACGAUCUGGCAUCCUGACGAAGCCUGUUGUAUACAGGCGAAACGCGUAGAUCGCCGAGCCACGGACUGGGAUAUACGCUUCAAAACGCUGACCACCGUCGCUCAGUUCAUUUGUCUGCCGGCAGACACCCGCUUCCAACCUCCAAUAAGAGACACCAUCAGCGGCCUUCCAGCAGGUCACUAAUAGCGUGUCUAAAAAGUCACAAAGACCUUCUGGCCCUGCCUCCACUCUGACUGAAGCAGAGGAUGCUGCUGAUGCUGGACCGUCCACACACGAAUUGCCCCUGCGGAAGCGCAGUCUGGGUGUGUCUUCCAGAGCACCACAAGAGCCUCCACCACGACGACGCAUAUCCCAGGUCUCAGCCAUGCCCCCACAGCAACUGCUGGACAAUCCUCCACCCAUGUCACCGCAUUCCCCUCAGCUGCCUGGUGAUUUGAUUUGCACAUUCAUACAACACAUAUAUUUACACACACACUUUACACUACUGAAAACAGUGCUAAAUAUGCUGUACUAUUGUUGGCCUACUUAAGAUGCCAUGUUGCCCUUAACAACCAAUCACAGUAAACUUGACAAUUAUGUUGCACCUUCAAGAAUGGAACACAUGAAAUGUGAAUAAAUGAGAUGUCUUAAAGUAUAUCCCACAUUUAGGGGAAAUGCAAGCUUACUUCAAAUUCUGCAAUGUUUUCAAACUGAUUUAUGAAGCAAAUUAGUGCAUAACUUAAGUGGAAAACAGUUCCUCGCAAACUAAAUGGACACUAUUGCCUCAAAACACUUAGGACAACAAAUGUGAGGUGCAUAUGUGUAAAAACGAAGAGACAAUAUAUGUGACCAAUAUAGGCUUAGCAACACACACUAAAAAAAAAAAAAAUAUUAGCACUAAUAAAACAAAACGCUCUGGCAAAAAAAAAAAAUAUAUAUACUUACACACAACUGCUUUCUAUUUUCAGCAGACACAAAUCUUCAGGCAAGUCAGCCAGGGCAACUGCAGGAAACAUAUACCCGCCUCAAUCUCACUGCUAUACCACUGCCAGACCCAACAACCACUCAGUUUGCAACUCCGCCCCCUCACCAGACACCUGAGCAGGACAGAAGCCCUACCACACCUGUAGCACAGUCACAAGACCAGGCAUUUUGGGACAGCUGGUCCACCCAGUAAGCCAAUAAUUUAGAUUUUUUUGCGUAAGCAAACACAAUAUAUUUCCAGUCUUGCCCAUCACGUCCCACGCCUCUGCAGAAGCAACAGCAGACAAACUAAUGAGCUCACCCAAAUGGCAAACACAUUAGAAUUAAUAAGGGCAGACAAUAAUCGCAUGAUCGAUACAUUCCAAAGAGUCAUGGAUGACAAUCAAAGGCUCCAUCAAAUCUACUUGCAGAUAUUGACUGCAACCCAAACCACACAAGACACCAUGGUCAGAAUCAUGGAGAGCCACACGUCUGCAACUAGAGACUUAAAUUUGACUCUGACUACACUUAUACCCCUUUUCCACUAGCUUUUUAAACAUGGGUAAAUGCGCGGGGGCGCGCAUUUACCCGUGUUUUUUUCCUAGUGGAAAAGGGUCCCCCUGCAAAUUCCCGGAUCAAGUGAUCCGGGAAUCCUACCCGGGUAGCUAGCCGGGUUGAACCCGUGUUCAACCCAGCUAGCUGUCUAGUGUGAACGGGAGCCGUGUCGUUCAGUG
Molecule: long non-coding RNA, 1678 nt
Organism: Pseudophryne corroboree (corroboree frog)
Lineage: Eukaryota; Metazoa; Chordata; Amphibia; Anura; Myobatrachidae
Exons: 3
Source: RefSeq, a predicted model, not a curated record